RNAcentral lists this long non-coding RNA (3966 nucleotides) under Homo sapiens (human). RNAcentral's name for it is "non-protein coding WEE2-AS1:15". Lineage: Eukaryota; Metazoa; Chordata; Mammalia; Primates; Hominidae. The record is from RNAcentral.
GUGCGCGGGCGGAUGGAUCAACGCCGCCAAGUGGUGAGUUUGGAAGGUUUCAAGUUUAGAAGGUUUCAAGUUUAGAAGGUUUCAAGUUUGGAAAGAAAUGAAAUUAUGUGAUGAGGUUUCUAACUGGGCCCAGGAGGGGGCGAGGUAGGCAAAACAGAGACUAGCUCUGCCUGGAGGGAAAAAAAAGCAACAUUUGUGACCAGCCUAGGCGACAUAGUGAGACCUGUCUCUACAAAAAAUAUAUAAUUAGCUGGGCGUGGUGGCGCGCGCCUGUGGUCCAAGCUUCUCCGGAGGCUGAGGUCGGGGGAUCGCCUGAGCCCUGGAGGUCGUUGCUGCAUUGAGCCGUGAACGCACCACUGCAUUCCAGCCUGGGCAACAGAGCGAACUCUAUCUCAAAACAAAACAAAACAAAACAAGAAAAAGAAAAAAAGAAGAAAAUUAAAAAAAAAAAGAAAGAAAAAGAACGUCCCAGGUCUGUUGAAGCACUAAGAAAAGCAGAAAAAGAAAGGGGAGCCAGGGAAGGGCUGGCAGGCUGUGCAAUUUAAGGGAGCACCAGAAAAACUGGCAAUCAAAUAAUAUAUUAAUGUAAUAUUUUAAAAAGUAAAAAUUAAUGCAGGAAAUCCGGGAGGAACAAAAUAAGAGUCAUGUGUACCUUAACAACAGGGUAAGGUCUGAGGAUUGCGUCAUUAGGCGAUUUUGUUGCUGUACGAACACCACAGAAUGUACUUUGACGACCUAGAUGGUGGAGCCUGGACACACCUCGGCUCUGUGGUGUGGCCUGCUGCUUCCAGGCUGCAAACCUGACAGCAUGGGGCUGUACUGAAUACCGCAGACCAUUGUAAUUCAUGGGGAAAGCGCGAAUGCAGUCCCCCACUACAACAAAUUAUGCAGUCGAGUUUUCCACAUUUGGGAAUAUCACAGGGGUCAGCACAUCCGGAGUGCAAUCGAUGAGCCCCACGCUGGGAAAAACCACCUUCGUGAUCAUGGUAUCUUCCCUGCCAGCAACCUAAUCACAGAGCCUCCCAGCCCGAUGCUACAAAGAGCCGCAUGCUGCCAGUUUCCUUGUGGGCAGGGACCUAUGUAUUAUAAUGGUGAAUAUAUUUAUACUUGAAUCCACAGAGAAGACACAGUAGACUAGUCAUACCAUUGUGAGUAGUGCUCAGAUUCUUUCUUGACCCCCCAUCAUCCAAAAAUAUACCUUUCCAGUGUGGCAGUCUUGAACUUUUCCAAAUUCAGCUGCUGUUGGAGCUCUUCUGUUUUUCCCAGGGAAGGCCGGAGAACUGUAUUUCUGGCCAGAGCUGCUGCAGAAGGUCUCUGUUCGGCAUCAGGUUGGAUCAUGUUCUGAUGAUAUAGGACCAAGAGGAAAGAAACAGAAGCUUCACUAUUGGGAAAAAUCUUCCCAUUCAAGCCAACUCCAACCCAGCUUCUCCUGGUGGAUUUUAGAGAAACCAAUCAGCUUCAUUUUCAACUUCUUCUAUGACUCCAGAGGAUUCACUUUGCAUCUUGUGACAAAUGAAUAUAUUACCUGAAAAAAAAAUGACAGGAUAGAUGAGUUGCUGCACAGGGGGAAAGCGAAGUUCCCAGGAGUAAGAUGUGCAAGAAGCGGGCAGCCUUGCAUCUCAGGGCUGAGUUCCCUCAACUGUGUGCUUGAGGGAAGUUCUCCCCUUGCAGACACACUGCUGAGUGAUAAGGAAGCACCUAGACUCCACUCUGACCAGACUUGGUUCUGAGGCCUAUGAAAUGUUGAUGGGAAGAACAGAAGCAGGAAAAUCUAUCUAUUCAAAUUUGCAAGACGUGGAAACUUUUAUUCACCUUCCUGGUUAGACUGUUCCUUUGUCAAAGUAAAGCUAAGGCCAUGGAAAAUGAGCUAUUUGAGAGUUUGUCGCUCCAAGGAAGAACAUGCUGGCCUAAUUGUCCCCCAAGUCAGGAGAGAGAAUUGUAAAAAACACUUAAACAGGCCUAAGUAAAGGUCCAGCACAUUAUUUAUUUAAGACUGAAUUAGAACUGAGUCAUUCCGACUCUGAAAAAAGAGUGUUGUUGGAUUCUUAUGUAUUUAAUGGGUCUGCCCUAUUGAAAACCAUUGUGAAGUAUGGUUUCCCAAGCAAGAAAUGACACUUUCACUGUCAGUCUUUCUAGGAGUCUGGCAGAAUCCAGGACCGGGAUUACCCUUAUUUAUGAAGCGACCUUAGACUAACAGUGGCUCUCUGGGUCUCCAGACAAUUGGCCAGGGACUCUAAAAACCAGAAACAAAGUUGAGAGAACUCCAUGCUGGUGGAGAAAAACAGCUGGCCUUUAUCACCAGAAUGUGCCCCAUAGAAGCAGCAAAGCAGCAAGCGACGUUCUUAAACAAGGGCCUGUGGGCCUCGUCAAGAUCUGGAGGAAUCAUCUACGACUCACUGCUGAGUGAGAGGGCUAGGCAGUGUCUUUAAGGUCCUGCCAGCUUUAACAUUGUAUGCUUUUUCUUUUGUUCAAUCUCUCACCACAACUGGAAGUGUUGCCUCAACUACACAGGAGAAAGUUUGCAGUAACUUAGAGAAAACAUUAUUUUAAUCACCAGUGUAUGUUCUCCUGCUCCCUGGACAAAUCCAUCAGCAGCGGCAACACUGACCAGGUCCAGAUUGGGGCCGCUGCGGUGGAUGUGAAUCCAUUGAAACUAGGGGUCUCCAGUGCUCCUGACUCCUCACAGCUCUGUUCCUAUGACAAGGAUGGUCAGCAAAGCCAGCAACCUUGAAGGGGGACCUUCUUCUAAUCUCCUCCCUGCCUGCUGAGAGAGUGUACAGAAGCAGCCACUUGUCAGCUGCGAUGAAUCCAAUGAUAAUUACAUAAAUCAUUAACAAUACUUGAUAUUUGCCCAUCACAUUUCUCAUUUCAAAGUGCUCAUAAAAUUGUAUCUCAUGGGUGGCACUGCCGGCACAACAGAAUUCCAAGGAAGGAUUACGGGCUAAGUAAAUAAAGCCUGGAGGCUGCUUUAAAGCCUAGGAGUCUGUUAUUAACCCUUUCCUCCUUUUUGUUUAACUUUUUCUCAUGGAAAUGUUCAAACAUACCAAAAAUAGAGAAAAUACUAUAAUGAGUCCUUAUGUAUCCAUAACCUAGCUUCAAAAAUUAUGUAUGGCUUUACAGUCUUGUUUAGUUCAUAACUGCAACUUCAUUGAGGGUGAGUGCUGGGGUAUUGUGAAGCAAAUCAGUGACAACAUAUUUUACCCAUGGAUACUUUAGUGCCAUUAAUAAAAACCCCUAGGUUAUUCUAUUAAUUUGAAAUCUACUAUAAAUCUAUCUGAUGAAUAAAUCAAACAGAUUUUAACAAAUUGCUUCUCUUGCCAAAGUUUCCCAUUUGCUAGAACUAGAGAUUAUUCAUCAAAAUAGCUGUGACAGUAGAAACAUACCACUUGUCUACACACACAACACAUAGCAUACUUAGAAUAGGAAUAGAUCUCUGAUUUGAUGUCCCAGUAAUUUAGAGAUUGAUGAUAUCCUACCGAUACUUUAAGGAGCAGACAUUUUAAAACGAUGGUACAGACCCACUAGUCUGACCUUUUCUCUGUUAGUCACAGUUGGGCUGUGGUCAUUCCCGGAGUCCCUAAGAUUAGAACAGGUAAUGGGUCACCUGUGUGACCUGCACCAAGGCCAGCCCCACCGCCCCCGGCCACAGAAAUAAGAUCUCUCUCUCUCUCUGUCUGUCUCUGUGUGUGUAUGUAUGUGUGUAUGUCUGUUUCUGCCUCUCCCACAUCACAUACAUACAUACACACACACACACACACACACACAGUGCCUCACUGGGAAGAAAUGAGCAGGUAUGGAGGAGACAUUCUCAGAGAUGGAUCUCUACUGUGCUCCGUCUUGACUUAUUUGCUGUCAGUGCUCCAAGGGAUGAGCUCUGGAGGUCAUCAGUAACUUGGUCAAACAUCCACAGCUACUUCUUCAUCCUUCUGAUCCAAUCAAGAGAUUCCUAUGCUGAAGUUUUACCUU